UCGAGAAUUUUUCACAAUGGGCGAAAGCCUGAUGGAGCGACGCCGCGUGGGGGAUGAAUGGCUUCGGCCCGUAAACCCCUGUCAUGUGCGAUCAAUGCUAUAGGGUGAACAAUCCUAUAGUUGAUAGUAGCGCAAGAGGAAGGGACGGCUAACUCUGUGCCAGCAGCCGCGGUAAUACAGAGGUCCCAAGCGUUGUUCGGAUUCACUGGGCGUAAAGGGUGCGUAGGCGGUUGGGUAAGUCUGAUGUGAAAUCUCCGGGCUCAACCCGGAAAUGGCAUUGGAUACUAUCCAGCUUGAGGGUUGGAGGGGGGACUGGAAUUCUCGGUGUAGCAGUGAAAUGCGUAGAUAUCGAGAGGAACACCAGUGGCGAAGGCGGGUCCCUGGACAACACCUGACGCUGAGGCACGAAAGCCGGGGGAGCAAACAGG
Molecule: ribosomal RNA, 428 nt
Filed under: uncultured bacterium
Lineage: Bacteria
Description: bacterial SSU rRNA
Rfam family: Bacterial small subunit ribosomal RNA
Source: RNAcentral